ACGCUCGACACCUACGGGAGACAGCAGUAGGGAAUCUUCCACAAUGGACGCAAGUCUGAUGGAGCAACGCCGCGUGAGUGAAGAAGGUCUUCGGAUCGUAAAACUCUGUUGUUAGAGAAGAACACGAGUGAGAGUAACUGUUCAUUCGAUGACGGUAUCUAACCAGCAAGUCACGGCUAACUACGUGCCGCAGCCGGUCGGUAAGUUACUGAGGCGGGCGUCGGCGAACGGACG
This 234-nucleotide ribosomal RNA is filed under the name uncultured bacterium. RNAcentral's name for it is "partial 16S ribosomal RNA". It matches the Rfam family "Bacterial small subunit ribosomal RNA", at positions 328 to 545 of the family's 1533-position model. The record is from RNAcentral.